Molecule: ribosomal RNA, 253 nt
Filed under: uncultured bacterium
Lineage: Bacteria
Description: partial 16S ribosomal RNA
Rfam family: Bacterial small subunit ribosomal RNA
Source: RNAcentral
UACAGGGGUGGCAAGCGUUGUCCGGAAUUACUGGGUGUAAAGGGUGCGUAGGCGGGUCGGUAAGUCAGUGGUCAAAUCCUAUAGCUUAACUAUAGACUAUCCAUUGAUACUGCUGAUCUUGAGUGCGAGAGAGAUGAGUGGAAUUCCAAGUGUAGCGGUGAAAUGCGUAGAGAUUUGGAAGAACACCAGUAGCGAAGGCGGCUCAUUAGCUCGUAACUGACGCUGAGGCACGACAGCAUGGGUAGCAAACAGG